Molecule: non-coding RNA, 73 nt
Organism: Bos taurus (domestic cattle)
Lineage: Eukaryota; Metazoa; Chordata; Mammalia; Artiodactyla; Bovidae
Source: Rfam
UCCCUGGUGGUCCAGUGGCUAAGACUCCAUGCUCUCAAUGAAGGAGGCCCAGGUUCGAUCCCUGGUCAGGGAA